AUAGGCAUCUUUUCAUUCCACCUAUUAGUAUCUCUUGGUUUUUCCUUCUUCCUCAGCCUUACGGUUUCUGUUUGCAGAUGAGAUUUCCUCCGAUGUCUUUCCUUACGGGGAUUCUGUCCUCGGAUCUGCUCGCAUCGGUUCAACAUCUCCUCUUUGCUUUCUGAUGUUGUACUAUGAAAGGAGUAGCGUUGUUGGAGCUAUGGUUUUAAAGGCCUUUGCUGGGAAAGGAAGCAAAGAUUGGCAGGGUUCAAGUUCUUGCGGCUUUUUAAGGAUGGUCUCAUCAAGGGCUGAGAUUUAUACGCUCUUCAGAUGUAAGUUGAAAAUAAACAAGACAUCUGAUUGUGUGAAACGGCGACGUGAGAUUGAAUCGGCUGGUUUGUUUAUGAAAGGAUGUGUAAGAUGUCAGGGCAAAAAGUCCUACUGAUAAUAUGUUUAUUGAAGGGGACUGUGUCCUGAUCUAUCUUUGUCGUCCGAGACCUUUGCCAUGACAGGUGCGCUUGCAUGGCAGGUCACCCAAACUUAAUAAAAAUUGAACUUUUUUGUGGUGUUUUUUGAGGGGAGAUCGCACGGGGGUUUGCCCGGGUUCUCCCUUCUGCUGUGGUGUCUCGUAUCGUGUCUUCUCUUCUUUUUUCUUCUCUUUCCCUUGCUCUCUUUCCAUUAUUUUGCAUCAUACGGGAUGGAUGUAUGAUCCAACAUCAUCACCAACGUCGGAAUAAGCUCAUGAACUCCAAGCUAUACCACUAGCGACUCUCAAGGCCAAGGUAUUAUUUUUCCAUAUUUAACACCCAAUCCGCCUUAUCUAUUCUACUUCAAAAUUUAAUUAUAAAUUUUAUUAUCAUUCAAUUAGUUAACUUGACAAAAGUCAAUAAAUCGUGUUAAUUAGAUUUUAACAUAUUUUUAAAGGGUUUAAUCUUUUAUAUUAAUAAUUGAUCUUAGAUUUAAUACAUUUUUGAAAAAAGAGGUAAUUUUAUUCGAAUUCCUGUAACUUAACUAUUAAUUUAUUCCUUGCCGUUUCUUGAAAAAGAGCAUGAUGGAUUUUGAAGUUAUCAUUGAUAAUUGUUUAUUAACUUUCAGUCUUAGAAAAACUUAAUUUUAAAUUGAAUUAUUUGAUUUUAGUAAAUAAUAUUUUAACUUUUAGUAAUUAGCCUAAAAUGAUUUUCUUUGAAAUUAAUUUUUUAUUAGAGGAUAUAACUUAAAAUCCAGUUUAAAGCAGAAUAAUUUUAUUAACAUCGGGGCUAAUUAAAAUAAUUGUAGGAAGUAGUCAGUUUUACUUGCAUCUUCAUUGAUAAUGAAACUUGGUAAACAGUCUCUAAAAUGAAGUUUAAAAGUUGCAUAACUGUGAAAUUUGCAAUAUGAUCCAUUAAUUUUAAUCCAUGGAAGAUUAGAUUAAUAGAGCAAUCAUCGUUUCAUUUAGCUGUUUUAUACAUGACCAUUAUAUGAUCCAUUAAUUUUAAUCCAUGGAAGAUUAGAUUAUUAGAGCAAUCAUCGUUUCAUAUAGCUGUUUUAUACAUGACCAUUAAUCAGAUUCUCAUGGCAGAUUUUAAUUAAUGUUGGUUUUAAUAAAUAUUUAAAAUCUUGACUCAAGUUUCGUUGGAUAUUAUUAAUGAAUUUUAAAAAAAAAUGUUAUUAGAUAUUAUUAAUAUAUAGAUAAAAGUAUUAAUUUUCUGAUAAAAUUUUAUUCGAAUUUAAUUUGAACAUUUAAGAGUCGAUUUGCAUCAUAACUAUUAUUAUACCAAUUUCAUCCACACGGUUUAUUGAAUUGUUUGAAUGCUCUUGAAUAGCCUAUGCUCCCUUUUCGUUUGUUAUUUACAUUUUCAUGUUACUUUAUUUGAGGCGAAAUGCGUUAAUUUUGCUACUACUUUUAUGAAACUGUAAUACUUAGGAGAAUGUCAUAUGUAGGUUGAUGCAGCAUAUGUACUUUGCUUGUAUAUUGCAUUUGGUAGUUGUUUAGGCCCUUGCACGGGCUUGUGUUUAAUUGGCUUGAAGGUUGUGAAUACUAUCUGUUGGUCCAGUGAAGAUGACACGGCAGUGAGGUUAAUGAUGUUGGAGGUAUUUUUUGGUUUAUGCCAUAUCUAUUCUCUUUGAUUAACUCUGGAAAUCAAGAUAUGUGCGUUGAAGUGUUCGCCUCUAGUUCGGUCGACAUUCUUGAUCUAUGUUUGAAUCCCUUGGGAGUUGGAACCGAGCUUCGGAGACGGUGAAUAUAGUAAUCCAUGGCGUUGCAGGUCAAUUCUCUGGAGAUAUUUCAAUCAGAAUCGAGUUGUUGAAGCAUUGAAGUCAUUAUUUGAACCUCUUGGUUUUUUAUAUGAUGCAGUGCUGUAGUGAGAUUAGUAUUGAAGAGCUCUUGAUCAAAUACCACAAGAGGUACAUGUAGAUUGGCCGUGUAAACCAGUUCCAUUACAUAGUGAAGAUUUUUAAAGUGGACUAAGGUCCCGUGGUUUUUUCCCCUCAAGGGGUUUUCCACGUAAAUUUUGGUGCCCCCUUUUUCUGUUUAUGUUGCGCACUUAUGUCAAUAUCUUUUGCAGUUUUGAUAAUGUUCCUUUAGCAGGUAUGAUAACUGUGAGCCGUUUAAUUUAUCAGUAAAUUACUCUAUUUAUUACUGUGGUGUCCUGUUUCUUCAACUGUGUAGGAUUGCUAAAAUCUAGAUUGCAGGUUGAAGGGUGGAUUAAAGGCUGAAACGGGAAUUUGGCUCUUGGUAACUAAAAUUAGAUUGCAGGCUGAAGGGUGGAUUUAAGCUCAGAAGUUUUUUAUUUUGAAAAAUUCAUUUUAUAAAUAAACUUGUUGACAUUAUACAGUUUUGAUUAUGUAUAUGAAACAAAAUCCAUUUUUUUAGUUUAUUAUUUAGAAUAUUUCUUAGUUUUUAAAUUUUCAUUCAUUUUUUUAAAAUGAGAAUUUUAUAGAUUGAAAACGCAAGAAACAUAAAUAAAUUGAGUAUUAGCGGAUAAAUAUGUUGUACGGUAUCUAGAAAGCAUAUGUGAAAACCUUUUCGUUCCUUUAGCCGAUUAGCAAGUGUUUUUUUCCCCAAAAGAUUACAAGCAAGUUUCAUGGGCGAUUUGAGGGUCUAAAAAAUGGGGCUUGUUUUCAAUUAUACAUAUAUCACGAUUAUUUAUCAAAAUAGAUGUUUUUGUACGGUUGAGGUCGGCUCUUUGGUGUCGGUUUUUGAAGGUGUCUUUAACUUCACGAAUUGGAAAGAUCUGUAAGCUCAAAAUGGCAGAGCGCUCAAUCCUGUAAGAGGAUUGAGAGGUUGGUGGUUCAAAUCCAUCCAGAUCCAAAACUUAAUUUUGAAUUUUGCUUUUACUUUGGGUUACUAAAACAUUCAUCUCUUCAAUAUGGCAGUUGCAAGAGACGAUGAGAUGAUGCAAAAGGAUAUGCUUAACCAAAUCUGGAUGAUACAGUGAGGAGAAAGCUUGCGUUCCACUAUUUAUCAAGAACGAGUUAAAAAUCGAGGGAAAGAGAGCUGCUGAAUAGUCCCUGAACUUUUGUCAUUGCUGCAGUUUAGCUUGAUAGCUUUUGGUGGAAAAUUGGGUGAUCGGAUCAACUUGGAGAAAUCACACUAUCCGAGGACGUUUUGGUAGAUUUUGAAUACAAACUUUGGCUUAUAUGACAUGUACUAGGAGAAUUUGAAUAUGUUUUGUAAUAGUUUGUAGAUACUCGUAUUAUAAAAAUGAUGUGCAUAUGAUGUUGUUGUGUAAACUUAUUAUGUAAUGUAUACAUGCAUGAGUACUAAGUUAUGGUACAUGUGAAAGGACUUGAAUGUGAAGGAGAUAUGGUAAGUUUAGCAUGAA
Molecule: long non-coding RNA, 3782 nt
Organism: Gossypium raimondii (Peruvian cotton)
Lineage: Eukaryota; Viridiplantae; Streptophyta; Magnoliopsida; Malvales; Malvaceae
Exons: 4
Source: RefSeq, a predicted model, not a curated record